UACGUAGGGUGCAAGCGUUAAUCGGAAUUACUGGGCGUAAAGCGUGCGCAGGCGGUUGUGUAAGACAGAUGUGAAAUCCCCGGGCUCAACCUGGGAACUGCAUUUGUGACUGCAAGGCUGGAGUACGGUAGAGGGGGAUGGAAUUCCGCGUGUAGCAGUGAAAUGCGUAGAUAUGCGGAGGAACACCGAUGGCGAAGGCAAUCCCCUGGACCUGUACUGACGCUCAUGCACGAAAGCGUGGGGAGCAAACAGG
This 253-nucleotide ribosomal RNA is filed under the name uncultured bacterium. Its description in RNAcentral is "partial 16S ribosomal RNA". It matches the Rfam family "Bacterial small subunit ribosomal RNA", at positions 524 to 776 of the family's 1533-position model. The record is from RNAcentral.